AGUAUGGACUAUUAUUCGUCUGUUACGAGGUUGGUUAACACGACAUUUUCAUAUUUUUGACGGAAAUUAGAACAUGAUCCAAGUUUUGAAACGUGAAUGUUAGAAUGGAAGCACCGCUUUGAAAUCAUUGAAGUUUGAAAUAUAUAUGUUGAAAUUUGAAUUGGAAAUUUGAAAAUCAAUAAAUGAAGAGCAGACGAAAAUACUACAGGAAGAGCAAGCAAGUUUUGAUUGUUGAAAGCAUAUGAACCACAUAUGAACUUUAUCACAGCGACUUAAAUUCGUUCAAUACUUCAAGUGCUUUUAGCGAAGUAGUUUAUCUGCAAAGG
This is a non-coding RNA of Paramuricea clavata, 326 nucleotides long. The record is from the annotation of a GenBank genome assembly. Lineage: Eukaryota; Metazoa; Cnidaria; Anthozoa; Malacalcyonacea; Plexauridae.